RNA transcript from Odobenus rosmarus divergens (Pacific walrus), 3157 nucleotides. It is a transcript of the gene named RAP2C, member of RAS oncogene family, with no coding region annotated. NCBI's taxonomy places the organism in Eukaryota, Metazoa, Chordata, Mammalia, Carnivora, Odobenidae. The transcript has 4 exons. The record is from RefSeq and is a predicted model, not a curated record.
CCCGACACUUGGCUCUUUCCCCUCCCCCUCCCUUAACUUCCUCUUCUUCCCCCGUUGGGCCCUCUGCCUCUCCGCACUCUCCUCCCCAGUUCGCAGAUUUCCGCCCACCUUCCGCCUCCCCGAGCCGCCGCGGCUAGCGGGGUGUUCUUUUCCCUCCCUCUGGUAGGAGUUGCUGAAGAUUUCUACCGCAAAGAGAUCGAAGUGGACUCUUCCCCCUCUGUGCUGGAAAUUCUGGACACCGCAGGAACUGAGCAGUUUGCCUCCAUGAGAGAUCUCUACAUCAAAAACGGCCAAGGUUUCAUCCUGGUUUAUAGCCUGGUUAAUCAACAGUCUUUCCAGGAUAUCAAGCCCAUGAGAGAUCAGAUUGUCAGAGUGAAGAGAUACGAAAAAGUCCCACUAAUCCUAGUAGGAAAUAAAGUGGAUCUGGAACCAGAAAGAGAGGUUAUGUCUUCAGAAGGCAGAGCCCUGGCUCAGGAAUGGGGCUGCCCUUUCAUGGAAACAUCGGCAAAAAGUAAAUCAAUGGUGGAUGAACUUUUUGCUGAGAUCGUCAGGCAAAUGAACUAUUCGUCCCUGCCCGAGAAGCAAGAUCAGUGUUGUACAACUUGCGUUGUCCAGUAAAAAAAGAACCUCAAUCAUGGCCAUACCGAGCAGAUAAAACUCAGAGGAAAUUUGCACAGAUGCUGCUUUGGAGAACUUUACAACCUGGGUUGCAGAACUGAGCCUUGGUAAACCUGUCUCUAUUACAGCAUGUUGCCAUACAUCUAAUUCAGUGCAUAAGGUCCUUGGCCUUCAAGAUCCAUCGACCUUAAACAGGAAUGCUUAGCACGUUUACCAUAUGUUUAAAAUCUAUUCUUUAUCAAUCAGUCCUUUUGUAGCUUUCUAAGUUCUUAUUGAUGGCUAAUAUGCAAGAAUUAAUUUUUAAUAUUUUAAUUGAUUUCUUUAAUCAGUUUCUCAACUUGUAUUUAUUAAAUACUCAAACUCAGUAUUACCUACUCAAUGCCUUUUAAAAGAAAGUUAUAAUGGAGAAAAAAAUUGAGCCUUAAACAAAUGGUUACUUCUGUAUAUUACCUCGCACCAGUGCUUCAUUCUAUUUGUAAAAUCUUUCUCCUUUAAAUGAUUGGUUAAUACUUUGAGACUUUGUUUACGUGUGGCAGUGUUGUAAAAAGAAACUAAAGAUCACGUUUUUACCCUGAUGGAUGGAAUAUCCCUUUUCUUCAAGUACAGUUUGUGAUGUGUUUUUGUAAUUAACAUGUUCUGAAUGUUCCAAUUGAUAUUUGAAAUUGACAGUAGAGCAUUUAGCUGAAGAGUUCAGCAUUUGAUUCCAUUAGGUUUUCACAUGUGUUAAUCUCAUUUACAGCAUCGAAUAGCAGCAGUAACAUUUUCCUUUCUGUGAAGUUCUAAAUUUAGUUAUGACCUAGUUAGCAAUGCCUUUGAAAAGGGAUAUUGUAUCCAUGGUAAAUUAAUUGUAUACCUAAACAGAGAUCGCUCAGCUUUGCCUGUCAGGCUUGUAAUUGACAUCUAGUAGACUUCUGCACAUGUAAAAUUGAAUUCAAAUAAAAUCAUAUACGCUUUCUAGUUCUUAAUAUUUGUCUUUCUGGAUAAUAGUUUAAAGCAAUAUUUGUUAAAGUUUUCUUGCACUAUCACAAUUGCUUUUUAGUUAUUUCUCAAGAAGCAUGUUCGUAGUAGAGACAAAAAUCUGUGUAACAGGAGAGGAUAGCGCCAAGUCUCUGGGCUUUUUUGUUUGUUUGUUUUGGGGAUUUUUUUUUUCCAAAUGUGCUUCUAAUAGCCAUUGCCUUCCAUGUUGUUUACCUAAUCAGCACAUUUUGUCUGAAUACUUGAACAUUUUAACAGUAAUACAGGUAUAGAAACAGAAAGGAAACUUGUAGAGUAAUCUUUUGGUUCAGUUUUAACAUCUUGACAACAAGCGCUUUUUCUAGCAACAACUUAAAAAUUUUGUAAGUUUGACAGUAUUUUCUUGUUGGGUUUUUAUUUGGUUUUAGUUGCGUGCUUUUAAUUUGCAGAAGUUAGUAACUGCAGCUCACCUACUGCACCAAAGUUCUCGAUUUUAGGAGCCCAGCUUUAGUCAUUUGAACAUGCUUCUAAAUAAAACAAAACAAAAAACCAAAACUAUACUUUUGAUCUAUAAUAAUAGCUCAAUAACUUUGUCAAGGAAAGCUCUAAUAUAUGCAGUGAUGGUUUAUGGAAGGGUGUGGCAAUUUUAAAUUUAUAUUGUGUGUGAUGUUCAAAUAAAGUGAUAUCUACAUUCAUGUGAUUUAUUGGUCAGCAUGACCAUUAAUUAUUAUGUAGAAAUUGAUUAAACUUUGAUUUCCUUUUUUAAAAUCGUGUUGCAUUUGAUUCCUGAUCAGAUUCCCUCAAAGUGAACCCCUUGAUCUGAGAUUUUGGAUUUUAUGGUGAGGUUGUAGGGUGGAGGCAGUUGAAACAUUGUUCCUUAUUUAUAAACCACUUGAAGUGAAUACCUAAUUUAAGUUUGCACUUUAAUACCAAACUUAAAAACCAAACACUCAGUACAGAGUAGGUUAAGUGGUCAUGGUUCAUCUUUAUUAGCUGUGUGAAAUUCUAAAGGAAUCAAAUAAUUCAUGAUGAUUUAAAAUUUUUCUGCAGAUGAUUUUUUUUUAUAUGCAGUGUUUCUUUCCUAUGGAUAGUCCCCUGCCCUCCCCUCCCCCCCCAGCCCCCAGCAUUGAUCUCAGCAGCAAAUUUAACUUGAAUUCACUUAGGAUCACAGGAAUCAGGGGAAAGUGAUUUAAAGGUGGUUUCUCCAGCACAUUUUAAGAAAAGGGACCAAAAGUUUUAGCUUCCUCAAUAGAUUGCAUGUCAAGUUGCUUAUUAGGAUAAUAAAUUAAUAUUAAAUGCAAUAUAUGUCUUGUCUUUACUAUGGCAUCUGUUUAGGAGUUGUUCAAAUCACUGCAGUAGGGCUCUGCAAAUAAAAUCAUGUAACCUGUUAAUGGAUCUAAUGUACUGUAACUUUAUCAAUGAAAGGUAAAAAUCUCAAAUAACAAGUACAAACAUUGAACAAUGACCUAUAAAGAUUUGUAAAAGUAAAAUUUUUCCAAUAGAUUUCAUUCUUGUCAUUUUGUAAGAUGACCCUGCAGUCCACCUGUUUGUAACUUUUUUAAUAAAAUAGACAUCUGUAUUACCA